Long non-coding RNA from Lemur catta (Ring-tailed lemur), 729 nucleotides. RefSeq lists it as uncharacterized. Lineage: Eukaryota; Metazoa; Chordata; Mammalia; Primates; Lemuridae. The record is from RefSeq and is a predicted model, not a curated record. The transcript is spliced from 3 exons.
CCAGAGAAGAGCAGCAACGAUGCAGGGUGCCCUUGUGCUUCCAAGUUUUUGCUGAAGGUCGCAGGAGCUCACGGACUCUUGGAUCCUUUCUGAAGGAGAGAGGACUGGAUUUUUUGCUCACCCCCAGCCCGUGGGGGGCUCUUAGAGGAGCUGAUGGGGGCGUUUUCAAUAUCUCCAUCGGUGGUGGCUGCUGAGCGUGGGGGCUCAGCUUCCUCCUCUCUGCUGAGAAGUGCAGAAGGAAAACAGAAGGAUGCAGAGGCGUGCGGGACAGCUCAACUCACAAACCUCACAAACUAGAGGUUACUGAGAGCCGCUGCAGUCUGCUGGAGUGCUUUCAGAUUUUCCACUGGGCAGGAAGCACAGAGACAUCUCUCCUUCGGCCUCCAUCAGGGCAGAAAGAACACACAUGGGCACAUUGGCAAGCGGUUGCAGCAGGCUUUGCCCAGCCAUGGACAGGCCCAUCGAGGAUGUGACAGGGAAGGGCAGAAAGCUGCAGGAGAGGACCUGAGCCCCUCAGGACGGAGACCGCCCAGCCCCCAACAUUGUCAUACACAUCAAAGAUGGUUAAAAUUAACCUCGGGGGCAGCCUUCAAGGGGAAAUCAGAGGCAGGGGCUUCCAGCCUCAGGGUCCCCAGUGGAGGAGGGGGCGGACUGCAGCCCCAGCUGCCUGUCCAGUCCCUCAUGACUGGGAGAACUUUCGGACUGCAGGUUUGUAGUGGAGCCCCAAGC